UAGUCAUUUCUCGUAGUGACCUGCGGAGGGACAUUA
This 36-nucleotide ribosomal RNA is filed under the name Alternaria sp. Ae. RNAcentral describes it as "partial 18S ribosomal RNA". The record is from RNAcentral. Lineage: Eukaryota; Fungi; Ascomycota; Dothideomycetes; Pleosporales; Pleosporaceae.